This is a regulatory RNA element of Corynebacterium sp. DNF00584, 101 nucleotides long. It matches the Rfam family "L31-Corynebacteriaceae ribosomal protein leader". Lineage: Bacteria; Bacillati; Actinomycetota; Actinomycetes; Mycobacteriales; Corynebacteriaceae. The record is from Rfam.
ACUCGGGCACGAUCCUUGGAUGCGCGUGCUGCCGGCUGGCUCCAGUGGGGCUGCGCGGCGAAGCCUCGCAAGGAACCGACCCGUAGUUCAACCCUGAGGGA